This 465-nucleotide ribosomal RNA is filed under the name uncultured Arsenophonus sp. RNAcentral describes it as "partial 16S ribosomal RNA". It matches the Rfam family "Bacterial small subunit ribosomal RNA", at positions 338 to 795 of the family's 1533-position model. Lineage: Bacteria; Pseudomonadati; Pseudomonadota; Gammaproteobacteria; Enterobacterales; Morganellaceae. The record is from RNAcentral.
CCUACCUUUGACAGCAUUGGGGAAUAGGGCAAAAGGGGAAAACAAAUGAAGGAGAAAUGCAGCGUGUAUGAAGAAUGCCUUCGUGUUGUAAAGUACUUUCAGUCGUGAGGAAGGGGGUAAGUGGAAAAAAAAAAAAACAUGACGAUAAAGAAAGAAAACGCACCGGAACACUCCGUGCCAGCAGCCGCGGUAAUACGGAGGGUGCGAGCGUUAAUCGGAAUUACUGGGCGUAAAGGGCACGCAGGCGGUUAAUUAAGUUGGAUGUGAAAUCCCCGGGCUUAACCUGGGAAUGGCAGUCAAGACUGGUUAGCUAGAGUCUUGUAGAGGGGGGUAGAACGUGUGGUGUUGCGGUGAAAGUCUUAUUUGUUUUUAGUUGUGAUGGUGGCUAUGGUUUCCUGUUGGAUUAAGACUGCUGUUCUGUUGUGAAAGCGUGGGGAGCAAACAGGAUUAGAUACCCUGGUAGUC